UUGUUCAGUGGAUUCAUGAUGACUUCAUCUUCUUCUUCGUCAUCUUCCUCAUCUUACUUAGUUUCAUCAUCUUCCGCUGACGAACUCACACGUAAACCAACUCCGGUAGUAGGGCCAGUAAUAAGCGGUGGCCGUAGCAGGACAUGGACGUGGGCAUUUGCAAGUCCGAUGAGAGCUUUUAAACCGUCAAAUUCGAAGGAUCGGAAACGCUCCAUAAUCAGACAAGCUACAGAAAGCAACCCAUCACCGGAUUUGAACUCUAUUCCUUCAUUGUUAACCGUCAGAAGCUGAAAAAACAACUAAAACACUCUGUUUCCGUUGGAUGAAGAUCAAAAAAGGGGGAAUCAUGAAGAAGCAAUUCAACAAACAACAAGGUGCGUUUAAAGCACAGUGGAUUUCUUCACUUCUCACAGUACAAAUCAAAAACAUAAAAAGAGAAAGAAUGAAAAAAAGAAAAAGAAUAUAAUGAAUGAAUCUUUUUGAGAAGAUGGAAAUUUGCCUUUUGUGGUUUAUGUAAUAUCAAAUUUGUAAUUUGUCAAUGUUGAAUGUAAUGUUUUAUGUUUUAUGUUCUUUUGAAGAAUAAGAAAUGGUUGAAUUUUCACUAAUAAUCA
This is a long non-coding RNA of Cucumis melo (muskmelon), 611 nucleotides long. RefSeq lists it as uncharacterized. The transcript is spliced from 2 exons. Lineage: Eukaryota; Viridiplantae; Streptophyta; Magnoliopsida; Cucurbitales; Cucurbitaceae. The record is from RefSeq and is a predicted model, not a curated record.